RNAcentral lists this ribosomal RNA (393 nucleotides) under uncultured bacterium. RNAcentral describes it as "partial 16S ribosomal RNA". It matches the Rfam family "Bacterial small subunit ribosomal RNA", at positions 523 to 918 of the family's 1533-position model. The record is from RNAcentral.
AUACGGAGGAUCCGAGCGUUAUCCGGAUUUAUUGGGUUUAAAGGGUGCGCAGGCGGGAGAUUAAGUCGGCGGUGAAAUUUUGCAGCUCCAAUGUAAAAAUGGCUUCGAAACUGGGUUUCUUGAGUGUGGUUGAAGUAGGCGGAAUUUGUGGGGUAUCGGGGCAAUGCAUAGAUAUCACGAGGAACUCCGAUUGCGCAGGCAGCUUACUAAACUACUACUGACGCUCAGGCACGAAGGCGUGGGGAUCAAACAGGAUUAGAUACCCUGGUAGUCCACGCAGUAAACGAUGAUUACUAGCUGUUUGCGAUACAAUGUAAGCGGCUGAGCGAAAGCGUUAAGUAAUCCACCUGGGGAGUACGUUCGCAAGAAUGAAACUCAAAUGAAUUGACGGGG